GCCAGAUUAGAGUUGCAGUGCUGUACUUUAGUAUGGGUAAACAGAAAUGUAUCCAGAAGGAGAGAGGGGUGUUCAGGUCUUCUAAGUAGAAGUCAGACACUCCUCAAAUAUUGUGGACAGGGGUCAUGGUUUAGAGUAGAAAAUUGGGCUAACAGAGAAGCUUUGAAUUCCCAUAGUUAAUACUGGAGGAAAUGAGUCAUCGGUGAUAAGCAAAGCCACACACAAUAUUGUUGGUUCUUAUUGACUGAAUUUACUUUGGUUGCCUUUUAGGUGAGCCCGUGGUAGCAGCAGAAGCAGGCAUUAUGGGAUAACGAUUGUGUAAAGAAACAGCUUCUUCAUUCCUGCACUGGUUGCCACCAACAUUCUCUUGGUUGAUGAGAUCAUGCGAGCUGGAAUCUUCUCUGAAAGGUUGAAUUGAAGCUUCCUCUGUAUCUGAGUCUUGAAGACUCUGCAAAGUGAUCCUGAAGAAUACAGCUGUGGAAUUUUUGUCCAAGCUUCAAAUGAGUUUCAAGGGAAUUUUCCCAUGUGAAAAAAGGAGAGAACACUGGCAUCUGUUGAAAUUCGGAAGUUCUGAAAUUAUAAUCACAGUAUUUUUUAAAAAUUGCACUGAAGUGUACACAGAUAAAGCAGGUCUUUCACCCAGUGAACAGGAUGUUUUGCUUUAGCAGCAGUGACAUAAAAUUCCAUGUUAAAUAAGCAUAUAUUACCUACCUUAUUAAAUAUUCCUUGAAAAAG
This 735-nucleotide long non-coding RNA is filed under the name Homo sapiens (human). RNAcentral describes it as "non-protein coding lnc-VKORC1L1-7:11". Lineage: Eukaryota; Metazoa; Chordata; Mammalia; Primates; Hominidae. The record is from RNAcentral.